RNAcentral lists this non-coding RNA (27 nucleotides) under Rattus norvegicus (Norway rat). The record is from RNAcentral. Lineage: Eukaryota; Metazoa; Chordata; Mammalia; Rodentia; Muridae.
UGUGCUUGUUACUACUGUUAAAUGUUA